GUCUGGGUGGCGCAGUGGUCAGCGUAUCUGCCUACUAAGCACGAGACUCGGGUUCGAAUCCCGGUCUGGCACA
Schistocerca americana (American grasshopper) is the source of this 73-nucleotide non-coding RNA. The record is from the annotation of a RefSeq genome assembly. NCBI's taxonomy places the organism in Eukaryota, Metazoa, Arthropoda, Insecta, Orthoptera, Acrididae.